GGAAGAGCGACGUCCCCGGUGGGGUGCCUGGUCUUCAAAACCAGUGAGGCGCACAUUGUGCCUGGUGGGUUCGACUCCUACCUCUU
This 86-nucleotide transfer RNA is filed under the name uncultured Halioglobus sp. RNAcentral's name for it is "Selenocysteine transfer RNA". It matches the Rfam family "Selenocysteine transfer RNA". The record is from RNAcentral. Lineage: Bacteria; Pseudomonadati; Pseudomonadota; Gammaproteobacteria; Cellvibrionales; Halieaceae.